CGGGGCGGCACCUGGGAAUCUCAGGACCAGCCAGGCUAGCGCCCCGCGCCCCACCGCUCCCAGCGGGAUCUGCCCGUCCGGGCUGGGGACCCGCUCCCGGGGCGGCCAGCCCUGUCGCCGGGUCGCCUAACUCCAGGUUCGGGCUCCCUACUCUGGAAACGCCUGCAAAUCAGGGGCAAUCUCCCGAGCGCCUGCGCGACAGCCACCAGCUCCUGCCUUACCUCUACCCGGCGGCGCCCUGGGAGAGCACUUUGCGUCUCCAGUGUCCGCGCCCUGCCCCGGCCGGACUGCCCCCUCUCCGCUGGGCGCCUUUCGGUCCCGAGGGCCGGGUCCCACCGCCCAGGCCCCGAUGCGCCCCCAGGUUGGGUGGUGAGCGCCGGGAGCCGGGAGGAGAACGCGCGGGGUGGAGAAUCUCGUGGGGUCCCAAGCGGCGGUGCGGGAGGAAGACCAGGAGGGAGAACGCAGGGCCCCCUGAGGGAUCCCGUCCUUGGACCGAGAAACUUCCUCGCGGCAACUCCUUUCCUCGUGCUCUGCGUCGCAGCCCUGAGGUUUGGACCCAGACGCUCAGCGACAGAGAGGGAGGUGGCCCCUUUCAUCAUCUGCCUUGCCCUUCCGAGAGGCUGUCCUGUCGCCUGUGCCCACUAAAGUGUCUUCCUGUCCUCCGGGGCACGUGUGUCUUUCCGAGACCGCCACUGACUGGGCACUUUUGCCUGUUCUGUCCAGGCAACGUGGUGUCACCGAUGUUACGCAUCAGUGUGGUCUCCCCGCCCCCCCGGGAUGUCCCAGCAGGCCAGAUCUCUGUGGGCUGCGCUUCAGCAGUGAGAAGGCGUUAGUCCAGUCCUGGGACAACACUGUAAAUUAAUAUCGUUGUAGGGGACAAGAGCAGGCCGCCCCAAGAUGGGCUGCUUUGGUGUAAGAGUUAUUUUGAGUUCAAAGCAAUCCAAACUCAGCAGAUUGAGGAAAAAGCUCACGUUCCCCUCCCGUUUCGCUGCCGGCCUGCGCCCGGAAGAGAGCUGUUAAGAAAGACUGCUCUUUACAAGAAACUGAUCUGCAUAGUAAGGCAACCUUUGUUUUCCAAAUAUCUCUUCUGUCUUCCCGCUGAAGGUCUUCCUUCCCUUUGUAUCCUCAGACCCUAGGGCUCUCCUUAGCUCUUAUAAGCCUCACGUUGGCUCUUUGGCGUUUCCUGUCUGGCUUCCCGUGGAUGACACUAAAUUUGAUUUUCUCCUGUUUAUCUGUCUCCUAUGCGUCUGACUCUUAGCCCAUCGAGAAGGACCUUCAAAGGCAGAGGAAAUUCUUCCUCCCCAACACUGUCCAUCAGCAAGCAUGCAAAGAUGUGUGUAUAUGAAUGUGUACACGUGCCUGUCCAUGUACACGUAUGUGUUCUGAGAUGCCGUGCAAGAUACUUUUUUUAAUAAUUUAUUGUCACGUUAGCUAACACAGCGUAUACAGUGUAGUCUCGGUUUCCGGAAUAGAUUCCCGUAAUUCAUCACCGACAUACAACACACCCAGUGUUCAUCCCAAGGAGCGCCCUCCUCCGUGCCCAUUCCCCGCCCACUUCCCCUCCAGGAGCCCUCAGUUUGUUCUCUGUAUUUAAGAAUCUCUUAUGGGGGCGCCUGGGUGGCGCAGUCGGUUAAGCGUCCAACUUCAGCCAGGUCACGAUCUCGCAGUCAGUGAGUUCGAGCCCUGCGUCGGGCUCUGGGCUGAUGGCUCAGAGCCUGGAGCCUGUUUCCAAUUCUGUGUCUCCCUCUCUCUCUGCCCCUCCCCCGUUCAUGCUCUGUCUCUCUCUGUCCCAAAAAUAAAUGUUGAAAAAAAAAAAAAAAAAAAGAAUCU
Molecule: long non-coding RNA, 1830 nt
Filed under: Felis catus (domestic cat)
Lineage: Eukaryota; Metazoa; Chordata; Mammalia; Carnivora; Felidae
Description: lncRNA (ENSFCAG00000052484.1)
Source: RNAcentral